AUUGAACGCUGGCGGCAGGCCUAACACAUGCAAGUCGAACGAGUGGCGGACGGGUGAGUAAUGUCUGGGAAACUUCCUGAUGGAGGGGGAUAACUACUGGAAACGGUCGCUACUCCCGCAUACCAUCGGAUGUGCCCAUAUGGGAUUAGCUAGUAGGUGGGGUAACGGCUCACCUAGGCGACGAUCCCUCGCUGGUCUGAGAGGAUGACCAGCAACACUGGAACUGAGACACGGUCCAGACUCCUACGGGAGGCAGAAGUGGGGAAUAUUGCACAAUGGGCGCAAGGCUGAUGCAGCCAGGCCGCGUGUAUGAAGAAGGCCUUCGGGUUGUAAAGUACUUUCAGCGGGGAGGCGUUAACCGAAGAAGAAGCACCGGCUAACUCCGUGCCAGCAGCCGCGGUAAUUC
Molecule: ribosomal RNA, 406 nt
Filed under: uncultured bacterium
Lineage: Bacteria
Description: partial 16S ribosomal RNA
Rfam family: Bacterial small subunit ribosomal RNA
Source: RNAcentral